CUACGUGCCAGCAGCCGCGGUAAUACGGAAGGUCCAGGCGUUAUCCGGAUUUAUUGGGUUUAAAGGGAGCGUAGGCUGGAGAUUAAGUGUGUUGUGAAAUGUAGACGCUCAACGUNUGAAUUGCAGCGCAUACUGGUUUCCUUGAGUACGCACAACGUUGGCGGAAUUYGUYGUGUAGCGGUGAAAUGCUUAGAUAUGACGAAGAACUCCGAUUGCGAAGGCAGCUGACGGGAGCGCAACUGACGCUUAAGCUCGAAGGUGCGGGUAUCAAACAGGAUUAGAUACCCUGGUAGUCCGCACAGUAAACGAUGGAUGCCCGCUGUUGGUACCUGGUAUCAGCGGCUAAGCGAAAGCAUUAAGCAUYCCACCUGGGGAGUACGCCGGCAACGGUGAAACUCAAAGGAAUUGACGGGGGCCCGCACAAGCGGUGGAGCAUGUGGUUUAAUUCGAAGCAACGCGAAGAACCUUACCAGGUCUUGACAUCCCUCUGACCGCUCUAGAGAUAG
RNAcentral lists this ribosomal RNA (506 nucleotides) under uncultured bacterium. Its description in RNAcentral is "bacterial SSU rRNA". It matches the Rfam family "Bacterial small subunit ribosomal RNA", at positions 501 to 1009 of the family's 1533-position model. The record is from RNAcentral.